RNAcentral lists this long non-coding RNA (2970 nucleotides) under Homo sapiens (human). RNAcentral describes it as "HSALNT0343736". The record is from RNAcentral. Lineage: Eukaryota; Metazoa; Chordata; Mammalia; Primates; Hominidae.
UGCAAAGGGAGAAGUCAGAGGUGGGAGAAGGCCGUGAGGUGAGACACCCAACUAGCACUUCAUGCCCUGGGGCAGGGGAGGGAGGCAGAGGGGAGAGGGCAGGAACAGGGCUUUUGCCCUCCCUAACCCCCAUAGGGAGACUGGGCAUGCAAAAGUCCCCUGUGUAGCCGGCAGCAGGGGGACAUGUGAAGACAUGGAGAAGGGGCUGGUGCUGGACCCACAGGGGCUUCUGGAAACUAGGGAGUGAGAUGCUUCCGGGCUGGCCUGGGCUCUUCCUGUGCAGCAGAGCUCAGCAGAGCUGCAGGGGAGGCACCUGCAGCCCAGAGCUGGGUACAACCCCCGUGGGCCUGCCAGAAUGGGACAUCUGAGCAAGGAGAGAACCAGCAAGAACCCAGCAACCUGGGGACCUGGGUUAGGAGUAAACCUCGCUGGGAGAAGAAUGUCAUAAGCUUAGGUUUGGUGCCUGCGGCCUGGCAAAGCUUAUGCAGGAGGGAGCAGAAUGUCCAAUGGGAUGCAGCGUGAGGCUCUGAGGGGGCUGCAUGCACACAGCACAGUGCAGACAUGCUGCAGAGAACGCAGAGCUAGAGUUGACACCCUCUGCCUCUCCUUACUUUGAGUGUGCUCUGUGGGCUGUGUGCAGGCCACUACGACCUCUGCAGUCCCCUUUUCAGGAGCCAGGCUCACCUGCAGCUUUUCCACUGCCUGGGCCAAGGGAUCGGGGGAGAUGGUAUUGCACCGGGGCCUGGUGGGAAGGCCCCUGCCAGGUUGAUGCUGUGUGAAAGCCACUCUGAAGCCCUGGCCUUCAUCUUAUAUGUGGAACUUCAUACAAUAGGGAGGCACUGGCUUUGGAUAGCUCUUGGCCGGCAUGUUUGUUCAGAGAUAUUUAAGUUAGUGUGGUUACUUUGGGAACUACUUCUGUUUGUCUUCAAACUCAGUGAGAGGCUGCUGGCAUGAUGGAUGUGAAAUUUAUUGUUUAUUGUGUGCUUAUUUAAGACUUUAAAAUGAAUGUGCAUCUAUUUUUAUAUAUUGAUCAUUUAUUUUUAAGAAAUAAAAAUUGCCUAGGCAACUGGUCAGUUUCCAGCUAAUUGGAUGAGAGAAGCAGCUGGUAUUUACGGAGCCUCAUAGAGUCACAGCCACCUCCCGGGUAUCUUGUUUGAGGCCACACAGCCAGGCCAGGCUCUUCCCAUGAUGGAUCUCCACCACCCUAGAGGCAGCAGGGAAGUGGGCAAAUUCCAGAGCCCACAGCAGCCAGGCAGGAGGGACAGAAGCAGAGCCUGUCUGCUGAGCUACAGAAGGCUGGGGGAUCUGGGGGGUGCAGUCCCCAGGAGGCGCUGGCCCUGCUCCCCAACGCCCAGCGCUCCUGACAUCUAGGCUGGAUAAUUCUUCCAGUGGCUGGACACUGUCCUCUCUGGUUCAGGGUGCCUAACCGUGUUCGUGGGUGAGAACACGAACCUUGGAGUCAGCUGUCUAACUUCGGCAUGUGCUGGUGACAGGGCGGUGGGCAGCUAUUUAACCUCUCAGUGAUUCAGUGGCCUCAUCAGUAAAAGUUUUCAUUUUUGGUAACGUCGGCUGAAACAGUGGCUGCUUACACAGGCACAGUGAAGUGCAGCCUGCAGGAGACACUUGAUGACCUAAGCAGAACAACCCACCUACCAGAAAUAUCCAGCUUUAGGUUAAAUCUACUUGGAGAUUUACAACACUCUAGGGACUCUCUUUCAAGGAAGCAAAAGGUAAAGUUCUCCCCUGCUACGAUUAAAGGACUGAAACAAAUUCUGACUGCUGAGUCUACUGGUUCCACCAAACUGAACAACGAAGAAUCCCUAUUUUGGCUAAUAAGAAAUGCUAAUUAUUAUUUCUUUCAGAGAUGGCUCCUGGCUUACUAGGGUUAAGUGUGCAAACAUAAAAAAGAUCUGUAAUUAUCCUUUAAAAGCACACGUGAGUUCUGUAGAUUUGGGCUCACAAAGGCGGAGCACUGGGAGACUGGUGUGGAUUUUUGCCACUCAGAUAAAGUAUGAAGAAGCUUUUUUGCCCCUGGACUGAGCUGUAGUUCUUUCUCUGAUCUAUCUUGGCCUUUUCUGAACUCCCCGCUACUGAACUAUGCAAAUAAAAGGAAGCUACAAGGACCCAUUGGAGAGAGAGGAACGAAGAGAAGGCCUGUUUUAAAUACAAAAAGUUCUCUGUUUACAAACUUUCAAUAAGACAAAACUUUGUGUGCUACCAGUCACUGGUGUUAGUGGUCAACUGCACAGUGUCAUUCUGGACCUAAGCACAGAGAUGAAGAAUACUUCAUAUCGAUCUUAAACAAACUGUUCCGGAAAACAGAAUAGAUAAUAAUGUAACCACAGCAGUCUGGUUCAACUUUUAUGUAACAAAGUUGUGAGUUGUUUUUCAUUUGCCAUGGAUCCACAGGUUAAAGGUCACAUAACCUGAGCAUGCCCAGAUGAACCAGGUAUGUAACAACAGGCAGAACCUAAGUGCCUGGAUUGAGGCGAGUGAAUGGAAUUUAGAAAUGGAUACCACAUGGCAGGAUCCAGGAUCCAAUCAGAUCGAGCUGUGGCAUCACUGCAUGGCAGGAUCCAGUCAGAUCAUGCCUCUGAUAUCAAUUCGUUGCAAGAUCCAAUCAGAUCAUGCCUCAUUACCCUAUGCUUAUAAAACCUGACCCAGCCCUUUGCUCAGAGACACUGCUUUGGGAACUAUCUCCAGUGUUCUCCUUACUUGUUACAAGUAAUACAAUCCCCUUGCUAAAUCCUUGUCUGUGGUCAUUGGGUUGGUACCUGUCAAGUGACCAAACCCACUCGUGUGGGUAACAACAAGAAGAAGAUAUUUUAUGAGCCUGGUGUAACCUUGUACUCAAAUCAGAUAAGGAUUUUAUAAAAAGGGAAAUUAUAUGCCAUUUUUCACCUAUGAACAUAGAUAUAAAAAUACUAACUAUAGUACUUACAAACUGAAUCCAAUAUUAAAAAGCAUAUC